Molecule: ribosomal RNA, 465 nt
Filed under: Vreelandella stevensii
Lineage: Bacteria; Pseudomonadati; Pseudomonadota; Gammaproteobacteria; Oceanospirillales; Halomonadaceae
Description: partial 16S ribosomal RNA
Rfam family: Bacterial small subunit ribosomal RNA
Source: RNAcentral
CCUACGGGAGGCUGCAGUGGGGAAUAUUGGACAAUGGGGGCAACCCUGAUCCAGCCAUACCGCGUGUGUGAAGAAGGCCCUCGGGUUGUAAAGCACUUUCAGUGAGGAAGAACGCCUGGUGGUUAAUACCCAUCAGGAAAGACAUCACUCACAGAAGAAGCACCGGCUAACUCCGUGCCAGCAGCCGCGGUAAUACGGAGGGUGCGAGCGUUAAUCGGAAUUACUGGGCGUAAAGCGCGCGUAGGUGGCUUGAUAAGCCGGUUGUGAAAGCCCCGGGCUCAACCUGGGAACGGCAUCCGGAACUGUCAAGCUAGAGUGCAGGAGAGGAAGGUAGAAUUCCCGGUGUAGCGGUGAAAUGCGUAGAGAUCGGGAGGAAUACCAGUGGCGAAGGCGGCCUUCUGGACUGACACUGACACUGAGGUGCGAAAGCGUGGGUAGCAAACAGGAUUAGAUACCCCGGUAGUC